CCGAUAGCGUAUAUUAAAGUUGUUGCAGUUAAAAAGCUCGUAGUUGAAUUUCGGGACCAAUAUGUCGGUCGUGCUUCGGUACGUACUUGCAUUAUUGGUUUCUCCCUUCUGAAGAACCAUGAUGUCAUUAAUUUGGUGUCUUGGGGAAUCAGGACUGUUACUUUGAAAAAAUUAGAGUGUUUAAAGCAGGCUCACGCUUGAAUACAUUAGCAUGGAAUAAUGAAAUAGGACGUUUGAUUCUAUUUUGUUGGUUUCUAGGAUCGACGUAAUGAUUAAUAGGGAUAGUUGGGGGCAUUAGUAUUCAAUUGUCAGAGGUGAAAUUCUUGGAUUUAUUGAAGACUAACUACUGCGAAAGCAUUUGCCAAGGAUGUUUUCAUUAAUCAAGAACGAAAGUUAGGGGAUUGAAGACGAUCAGAUACCGUCGUAGUCCUAACCAUAAACUAUGCCGACUAGGGAUCGGAUGAUGUUAUUUUUGAUGACUCAUUCGGCGCCUUACG
RNAcentral lists this ribosomal RNA (497 nucleotides) under uncultured Glomeromycotina. RNAcentral describes it as "partial small subunit ribosomal RNA". It matches the Rfam family "Eukaryotic small subunit ribosomal RNA", at positions 591 to 1092 of the family's 1831-position model. Lineage: Eukaryota; Fungi; Glomeromycota. The record is from RNAcentral.